CGGAUUGUAGUCUGCAACCCGACUACAUGAAGCUGGAAUCGCUAGUAAUCGCGGAUCAGAAUGCCGCGGUGAAUACGUUCCCGGGCCUUGUACACACCGCCCGUCACACCAUGGGAGCCGGUAAUACCCGAAGUCAGUAGUCCAACCACGUGAGGACGCUGCCGAAGGUAGGAUUGGCGACUGGGGUGAAGUCGUAACAAGGUAAC
Molecule: ribosomal RNA, 206 nt
Filed under: uncultured bacterium
Lineage: Bacteria
Description: partial 16S ribosomal RNA
Rfam family: Bacterial small subunit ribosomal RNA
Source: RNAcentral